Molecule: ribosomal RNA, 465 nt
Filed under: Streptococcus mutans
Lineage: Bacteria; Bacillati; Bacillota; Bacilli; Lactobacillales; Streptococcaceae
Description: bacterial SSU rRNA
Rfam family: Bacterial small subunit ribosomal RNA
Source: RNAcentral
GACGAACGCUGGCGGCGUGCCUAAUACAUGCAAGUGGGACGCAAGGGAACACACUGUGCUUGCACACCGCGUUUUCUUGAGUCGCGAACGGGUGAGUAACGCGUAGGUAACCUGCCUAUUAGCGGGGGAUAACUAUUGGAAACGAUAGCUAAUACCGCAUAAUAUUAAUUAUUGCAUGAUAAUUGAUUGAAAGAUGCAAGCGCAUCACUAGUAGAUGGACCUGCGUUGUAUUAGCUAGUUGGUAAGGUAAGAGCUUACCAAGGCGACGAUACAUAGCCGACCUGAGAGGGUGAUCGGCCACACUGGGACUGAGACACGGCCCAGACUCCUACGGGAGGCAGCAGUAGGGAAUCUUCGGCAAUGGACGAAAGUCUGACCGAGCAACGCCGCGUGAGUGAAGAAGGUUUUCGGAUCGUAAAGCUCUGUUGUAAGUCAAGAACGUGUGUGAGAGUGGAAAGUUCACAC